CAAUAGCGUAUAUUAAACUUGUUGCGGUUAAAAGCUCGUAGUUGGAUUUCUGCCGAGGACGACCGGUCCGCCCUCUGGGUGAACAUCUGGUUCGGCCUGGGCAUCUUCUUGGAGAACGUUGCUGCACUUCACUGUGUGGAGCGGUAUCCAGGAUUUUUACUUUGAGGAAAUUAGAGUGUUUCAAGCAGGCAUACGCCUUGAAUACAUUAGCAUGGAAUAAUAAGAUAGGACCUCGGUUCUAUUUUGUUGGUUUCUAGAGCUGAGGUAAUGAUUAAUAAGGAUAGUUGGGGGCAUUCGUAUUUAACUGUCAGAAGUGAAAUUCUUGGAUUUGUUAAAGACGGACUACUGCGAAAGCAUUUGCCAAGGAUGUUUUCAUUGAUCAAGAACGAAAGUUAGGGGAUCGAAGAUGAUUAGAUACCAU
This 421-nucleotide ribosomal RNA is filed under the name uncultured eukaryote. RNAcentral describes it as "SSU rRNA". It matches the Rfam family "Eukaryotic small subunit ribosomal RNA", at positions 592 to 1018 of the family's 1831-position model. The record is from RNAcentral.